RNAcentral lists this ribosomal RNA (433 nucleotides) under delta proteobacterium SCGC AAA240-M21. Its description in RNAcentral is "SSU rRNA". It matches the Rfam family "Bacterial small subunit ribosomal RNA", at positions 514 to 943 of the family's 1533-position model. The record is from RNAcentral. Lineage: Bacteria; Deltaproteobacteria.
GCCGCGGUAAUACAUAGGGUGCGAGCGUUGUUCGGAAUUACUGGGCGUAAAGGGCGCGCAGGCGGAAUAGUAAGUCGGAGGUGAAAGCCCGGGGCUCAACCCCGGAGGGUCUUUCGAAACUGCUAAUCUAGAGAGGGUCAGGGGCCGGCAGAAUUCCUGGUGUAGAGGUGAAAUUCGUAGAUAUCAGGAGGAAUACCGGUGGCGAAGGCGGCCGGCUGGGGCCACUCUGACGCUGAGGCGCGAAAGCGUGGGGAGCAAACAGGAUUAGAUACCCUGGUAGUCCACGCCGUAAACGAUGAGCACUGGACGUCCGGAGGGUUCGACCCUUCUGGGUGUCUCAGCUAACGCAUUAAGUGCUCCGCCUGGGGAGUACGGUCGCAAGACUAAAACUCAAAGGAAUUGGCGGGGGAGCACGGUCAUACUGGGUUUCCUG